This 82-nucleotide transfer RNA is filed under the name Actinomycetes bacterium. RNAcentral describes it as "Actinobacteria bacterium tRNA-Tyr". It matches the Rfam family "tRNA". Rfam says of the family: Transfer RNA (tRNA) molecules are approximately 80 nucleotides in length. Their secondary structure includes four short double-helical elements and three loops (D, anti-codon, and T loops). Lineage: Bacteria; Bacillati; Actinomycetota; Actinomycetes. RNAcentral also lists the same sequence under 1 other name. The record is from RNAcentral.
GGCGGGGUACCGAAGCGGUCAAACGGGAUCGGCUGUAAACCGAUUGGCUCUGCCUUCGCAGGUUCGAAUCCUGCCCCCGCCA